GGCCCCCGGCCAGCAGCAAGUAGAGGUGAUAACAGUACCAGAUGAAAGUGGAGGGGAAGCUGCAGGACCACUCCAUGUUCCGUGUCCAGAUUCACCUCUUCAGAAAACAGAAACAGCACCACUCCACUACACCGAUACGAGAUUUCUGCCAACAGCUUUGAACCCUGGGCCAACUUGGUUCUGACAGCACCACUGACCUGCCACCGAGGAUGUUGUGAGGGGUCAGGAAUAUCUGCAGACCAUUUAAGGAAUGGGUGAAAGACUCCGGAGUUUUUAAAUAUGCUCUUCAAGGAACCAAGAGCAGGGGAUAUUCCAAGGAAGGUGCACAUAUCAGAAGAAUCUUUGUGUUAUCUGAGAACUAUACCAUGUAAUUUUGUCAGACAACAUUGUAUUUAAAUUUUAAAACUCUGUCUGCUAUAACGGGAUGUCACCAAAGCUGUGAUGUUUUAGAUUGGUAUAUGUUUGUCUUCAUCGUCUUCUUACUGAUUUUUAAGUGUUUUACAUAUUUUAGUUGGUAGUGAUUUCACAACAAUCUCAGGCUCUUAGAAUUGUUCCCUUUUGCUAAUGGGAAAUGUGCUGGAGUUCUUAAGUUGCAUUCCAAAUACUUGGGAAAAAAAUAUAUAGUGAGCUCAACUGUGUGAUUCAGUCAGUUUAGGAACAAUUUAUACCAAAUUUCUUCUUCAGUACAUAGUACCAUUCUUUACAAAAUGACUAAAAUUAAGAGUUUUUAAAUAACCUUUAUUUAAGUGAUAAAGUAAUUGUGUAUAAAGCUGGAAGCUGUGGUUGAGAGCCUGGAAAUUCUUGGACAGAAAUUCCUCUUGUAUCUUCCCAAAAUUUUAUGGCUCUUAAAUGUAUCAUUAUAGUGUACAGUGCCUCCCAGCAACUGCUCAUGGUAAAGCAUUCAUUUUAUGUGUCUAGGGCAGGGAAGAAAAACUAACUGGACAAUGUGGAUGUGUGAUAUGGUAGGGAGAAUUAGAUCACUAUGAAAUAGCUUCCAGCAUUACUAUCCUAGGCAUUCCAUUGAAUUCUUUUAGAGAGAUGGAGGAAGUUCAGGAGAAAAUGAUCAGAAUGAUAGGAGAGGAGGACUAAAAAUUCAAUGAGGCAUGGCUAAUGGAAAUAGAAAUAUUUGACCUGGAGAAGAUAGGAGGAUACAAAACUGGUUUUAAAAUAUCUUGACAGCUGACAAGUAGAAGAGAAAUUAGCCUUGCUUGUAUGGUCCCAUGGCCCUAUGUGCAAACUACAUGGAGCCUUUUGCCCCCAAAUAAGGUAGAUAUCACAAAGAUGUCUAAAGAUGCAAUAGGGAUUCUUGUUCAAGAUGGCAGACAGGAGCACCUACAUAUACCUCUUUUCUGCUCCGAAACUGCACAGAAAUAUUAGUAAAGAGGAACAGAGAAUACUAAAGACAGCUCUGGGGGCAGGAGAAAGGGCAUCUGGAAACUAGAGAUACAGACAAAUCUCUUGAAAGUAAAAAAUACUUGGAAUUAUAUUAACAGAUUAAAUCACAUUCACAGGAGAAGGCUGCAGUAGGGGCUGGAGCUAUUUUUCCUGGCAGCAGACCCACAGAGGCUCUGUGGAGUGCAAGAGGGAAGCUGGAAGGAAAUCAACUGUGGAAUAACUGUGAGUCAUAGCCCGCAUUCCCCUUCGCUGCAUCACAGGCUCAGGCUAAAACCAAAGGACUAAUCUUUAAAAUAAUUGAGAAGAGUCUGUAUGAGGAGGAGACCGAAAAGGGGUGAUGCCCACCCGAAAGACAGUUCUUCUCAUCUGAGCUGGCAAAUGGGAGAGGCAGCGGGUGGGGCAUCCUGCUUCUUCCUCUUCCACCUCAAGGUCUGAGCAAAGCCCGCCAGUCAAAAGGCCCACCCAUGUGGACAGAAGAUGAGACCUAGGCAAGGAGGGCUCUCUGUAUUAAACAAGCUGGUCUGCCUCAGUCAUAAAUAUGAAUUGAUAGCCAAAGAUCAUCAAAAUCUGAGGAAAAAUAAGAAUCAAAAUACGGGUUGAAAUAAACUGACCCUGGGGGAAAUAGGAAUUCAGGAAAUAGACAUUAUCUUUAUUCUAUUUAGUGUCUUCAUAGAAAAAAUGUUCAAAAAAAAAAAAAAAGCAUUUGUAAAGCAAAAAUACGUGGGCAACAAAAAGAACAAUCAAUACCAAAAUGAAAAAUGAAAAAAAGAAAAAAUGAAAAAAAGAAAAAACUGCCAAAGUUAAAAAUUCAAUGGAAAAAAAAAAAAUGGAAGGAACUUCUCUGAAUAUAGAGCAAAAAGUUAGAGAUGGAACAUAUAGGAGAAAAAUUAAAAGAUUAGAGGACAGUCCAUAAGAUCAAAUAACCAAAGGAUGUUUAGAAUAGGUAAAGAGACAAAAGAGAGAACAAGAGAAUUUUCUAGAUAUGAAGAAACAGGACUUCAGAUUGUAAGGAGCUAGAGAAUGCAGAAAAGGAUGAAUGAACAAACCUAUCCCAAGACAUGUUCUUGUGACAUUUUAGACACAGAGAAGAGAGGGAAGCUUCUAAAAAACUAAAAGAAUAGAUCACUCAAAAAUAAAUGAGAAUCCAACUGACAUUAGCUAGAUCAUCAGUUCUAGAUGCUAGGAAAAAAUUAAGAAUCAUGUCUGCAAGAUGUUGAGGGGAAAAAAAAUGUUUUUGAACCUCAAAUUCUCUUACCUAGCCAAAUAUCAGUAAAAACUACGGCAUUUUCAAACAUGCAAGAGCUUGGAACAUUUAUCACUUACAGACUAUUUCUGAAAGAAUUACUCAGGUAAAACAGGAAAAUCCAAGUAAGAGGAAAUUACAGACUCCAAGGAACAGUGGAUCUAACCCAGGAUUGUAGUGAAAAGUAAUUUGAGGCUGGCCUAGAUAGCUAUCAGUGCUAAUUAGAAUAAUAAGUCAGAAGCUCUGUGAAGAAUCUCUUUUAGGAGAAUAUGGAUUUCUUCUUCUAACAAAUAGAAUGAUUAAGAGGCUGGAUUAUCUUUUGAAAAAUCAAAGGUGCAUUGAGUCAUUAAGACAUGGUGCCAUCCUAACCCUCUCCAAACUUUAAAGUUCCGUUCUACUUCAAAUAGCAAAGAUUGAUUGAUAAGAGUUACAUCUCCUCUAUGGGCUUAAUGGCAUUACUUGGCUCUGCAGUCCCAUAGAAAUAUUACUGUGAAUACUACCUUUUAGAUGUCAAUGAAAACAAUCAAUUUAUAGACAAUGCAUCAAAAAUUAAUUGUAAUUGCAGAAUAAAUGUAAAAACAAUAGUAUACUGGAAUCAAGGUUUAGAAAGGGGUACAGAGGUAGAGGAAAAUGAAGUGAUGUUGGAUUUCUUCAUCAAACAUUAAGGGAGUUAAGAGGUACUGUAUCUAUGUUUGAGGGGUCAAAUACAGUGUUAAGCAUACUGUUUACAUUUAUUAUAUUGACAUCACACUGACGCAGAAUAGCAUGGCUGUUCUGAGCACAGACCCUGGAGCCAAAACACCUGGGUUUCAGUUCUUCUUCUACACUUCAACUUGGGAAAAUUGUUUGUGUGUGCCUCCCUAUCUACCUACCUAUCUAUCUACCUAACAACCUAUUUUUCAAGUGCUUAUAUUAAUCUGACACAUUAAAAGUGAGUGCUUUUGAUGAUGAUGAUGAUGAUGACAACGAUGGUAAAACAUCAGAAAUGACGAUGUUAAAACAUUGGAAAACAAAAGAACUAAAAAUUAACAUUAAAUCUGCAGAGACUGGAAAGGAGAAGCCAUAGUUUCAAAAAGUUUACUUACUCAUAUUUUUAAAAAGAGAGGUCAAAAGGUAUUUAAAGUUGAUCCGUCUAGAAAUAGAGGCAUAAUCAUAAUCAGAGUUAGGGAGGCAAUCUUCAGAAAAAAAUAAAAAGAGACAGUUAAAAGUAGUUAUUAUUGGUGAGUGGAAGGCUGCAAGAAGGAAGAACGGCUUUUCUUUCUAUCUUGUCCUAGUUGAGGGUUUUUUGGGUUAUUUUUCUUUACCAUACACAGGUAUUAAUUUUACUUAGUUUUUACCAAUAUUACUGAUGUAUACUUGACAUAAAAUAAACUGCACAUAUUUAAAGAAUAUAAUUUGAUAACUUGGGGACUUAUGUGCACACCCUUGAAAUUCUCACUGUAAUCAAGAUAAGGAAAAAAUUCAUCGUGCCCAGGAGUGUGCUCAUGCCCUUGGUGUUCCCCUCUUCCCAUUCCUCCCCACACGAUCUCAGGCAACUGCUGCUCUGCUUUCUGUGAGAAUAACGCAGUUUGCACUUUUUAGUAUUUUAUAUAAAUGAAAUCACACUGUAUAUGCUCAUAUAACUUCUUUCAUUCAGCAUAAUUAUUUUGAGAUUCUUUCACAUUAAAGUGUGUAUCAGCAGUUCAUUCCUUGUCUGGAAAAACCACAAAGAACAAACUCACCAGUUAAUGGAAAUAAGGUUUUUUUUGUUUUUUUGUUUUUUAAGAUUUUAUUUACUUAUUUGACAGAGAGAGAUCACAAGUAGGCAGAGAGGCAGGCAGAGAGAGAGAGAGGAGGAAACAGGCUCCCUGCCAAGCAGAGAGCCCGAUGUGGGACUCGAUCCCAGGACUCUGAGAUCAUGACCUGAGCCGAAGGCAGCGGCUUAACCCACUGAGCCACCCAGGCACCCCUGGAAAUAAGGUUUUUAACCCUAGUUUUUUACUAUGACAAAUAGAGCUGCUAUAAAUAUUCACAUACAAGUCUUUGUAUGGGUGAAGGAUUUCAUUUCUCUUGGAUAGAUACAGAAAUGAGGGAGGGGUGGGUCACAUGGUAGGCAUAUGUUUAAAUUUUUAAGAAACUGCCACACUGUUUUCUAAAGUGUUCAACAUUCCCAGCGGCAGUGAAUGAGUUUCAAUUCCUCCACAUUCUUGUCUUAGCAGAGACAAUCUUUUUUUCAGCCAUUCUAAUAGAGUGGUGGUGAUAUCAUAUUGUGGUUUUAUAUUCCCUGGUGACUAUCAAUAUUGAGCAUCUUCUUGCUUUUUAUUUUUUCCCUAUAUCUUCAUUGGAAAAAUAUUCAAAUGUUUGGCCCUUUAAAAAAUACUGAGUUAUUUUCUUAUUAUUGAGAUUUGAGUGUUCUUUGUAUCUUCUGUAUAUAGAGCCUUUAUCAAAUAUAUGAUUUA
Long non-coding RNA from Mustela lutreola (European mink), 5076 nucleotides. RefSeq lists it as uncharacterized. The transcript has 3 exons. The record is from RefSeq and is a predicted model, not a curated record. NCBI's taxonomy places the organism in Eukaryota, Metazoa, Chordata, Mammalia, Carnivora, Mustelidae.